Molecule: unclassified non-coding RNA, 1881 nt
Filed under: Hevea brasiliensis (rubber tree)
Lineage: Eukaryota; Viridiplantae; Streptophyta; Magnoliopsida; Malpighiales; Euphorbiaceae
Source: RNAcentral
AUUUUAUUCUCAGGACAGUAGUUGGACCUAGACACCAAGCCUGUUGAGGAUAUAGGUCCAAAAAAUCAUUAAGCUAGUGGCUUUCUCUGGGCAAAGGCCCAAUUGACUGUACGAAAAGAAUUAAAGUUGCCAAGUUGGGCAGGACUCACUCUGGAGGUUUGAGGCUUGCUUUUGCAAUUGUAAUUCUAGGGUUUAUACAUCGCCCUAUUUUCUCUCCGUUUACCACCGAAUAACAGUAUCGCAUACCAUCGAGAGCCAUGGAUUCUUUUUCGUCACCGUCAAUUGGAUCGGGAUCGUCUAAUAUGUCAACCUCGGAUCUCAUGGACCAGUUGAAGACUCAGCUCGCCCAGGCUUACGCUCAGGAGUUCCUCGAGACUGUUAGGGGGAAAUGUUUUGAGAAGUGCAUCACAAAACCAAGUUCAAGCCUGAGUGGGAGCGAAAGUAGCUGCAUCUCCAGGUGUGUGGACCGUUACAUAGAGGCUACUGGGAUUGUUAGCAGAGCUCUUUUCAAUGCACCACACUGAAUUGAGUAGAAAGUUCUCCAGAAGAAUGCACCACAUUGAGAGAUUUUGCUUUCAUACUUGUAUCCAUCUCAAAUAUUUUGCCAUGGGACAAAUAUUUUCAUUGCCUUGAGUACUAAUUUAUGUGCAGCCAUUCGAAACUGUGUUGCCUCUGAGCUUGUUGCCAUUUAUUCUGCUAGUUCUAAAAGCAUAGCUUGGGAUAUUACAAUGUUAGUGGAGUGGAAUGGUUAUUUUUUAAGUAUGCCAGUAAGAAUAAAUUUUGCUAUUAUGAUUUGAGAAUGCAAAUAUAAUUGACAAAAAGCAUGACAAAAAAGUGCAAAAACUACAGUUUCAGCCUAAACAUAAAUCCUGAUUGCUAAAGUUUUUCUUGUCUCUUGAUUAUGCUUUUCUUUUUGUUUUUCAUAUCAUGCGAAGCUAUUUUCCAACAUAAGCCAAUUUGUGUCCGCGUGUUGUAUAGUGACCUCUUGAGAAUACUCAAAACUCGUCCUUCCAUCAAGAAUGGAAAGGACCUUGUUGCAUUCUUAAUGUUCAUGCUGAUGUGUCUCCAUUGCAGAGGCACCCAGGCUUUUCCGACGCCUUAAAUUAGUUGUUAUUGUGCACCUGGCUAGCUUGUGAGACAGCGUUUUAAAUGCUCUCAAAGUGCAUUGCAGAGUAGUCCCCGGGCCAGACACUCUACUGAAAAUGACUUACAGCCCAAGAGACUAACUGCCUGGCCUGAAUUCUUGUCUGACAGUACCCAACUCAGCCUGAUGUUGUCUACGAGGUUCUUGCAGUGAUCUAAUUUGUGAUCUUCGGCUAGUGAUGAGACCGAAGGAGCUGAUAUUUCGUUGUCUUUAGUAUGACCGACGUUGUCAAUGUCAAUGUCAGCAUAGCCGAGAAGAUCAUCGGCAUCGUCGUAUGUGAGGUCCAGCAGUUGCAGAUUAAAUUAAAUGGGCAAUAACCAUUCUCGAAUUUUACUGGAAAUCAUGUCAGAACUUGUCAUCCCUAAUUUCGGGGGUGCAGGUAUCCCGCGUAGAACUCUGAAGAGGACGCAUUGAUUCUUGUAAUGAAUAUCUACAAGAGACAAAAUCGGAAGGAGAGGUUCUAGUUUCCAGUUUAGAAGAUCUAUGGUUGGCAGCAAAGUCGUAGAAUAUCAAUGGAUAGGAAUCGAUGAAGAAGCACUUGCACAGUGAAGGCCAUGCGAGGUGGCAUAGGUGCUUCCACAAGCUGUGCGGUCGAGCAAUGCACGGAGAACCUGUGGUUCUUUUUUUUUAAAAGUCUUCAUUUAUUUUAUUACUAAAAACAAAAAAUAAUUUUAUAUUAUGUAUCUUGAAAUCUUUUAGAUGUGCUAUUCACUUUUUUUCAUUUUCAAUUAGUUAAG